Alligator mississippiensis (American alligator) is the source of this 6645-nucleotide long non-coding RNA. RefSeq lists it as uncharacterized. The transcript is spliced from 5 exons. The record is from RefSeq and is a predicted model, not a curated record. NCBI's taxonomy places the organism in Eukaryota, Metazoa, Chordata, Crocodylia, Alligatoridae.
UUUCACCCGCAUGUCUCUCGUCACUUUUGGAGCCUGUCUGUUUUUUUUUUUGCUUUGGUGUUCCCUUUUAAACUGCGCGCAUGCACAGUGGGCCCGCUGUUGGGGUUAUGCUGUUCCUGGGCUAAGGGGGACCCUGCCCAGGAUUUAGGGGACCCUGCCCCAGCAGAGAGGGACUGCUAAGUACCCUCUCCCCUUCACUACACUUUCCCUGGGGGGCUGGGCUAAGUAGGGGCUGGGGCGGGGCGAGACCCUCCUCAGCCCACUCAGCUGCCUCCUCCCACUACCUGGGGUUAACCCCCUUCCACCACAGGCCCCACUUACCUCCGGCUGUGCUGGGGGUCAGCGGGGUGCUCUGCUGCUGCUGGGGGGUCACUGGGGGGCUUUGGGAGAGCACGUCUCUUGCCGCUCCUGGAGCCUGUCUCUGGUUACUCAGAGAGAUUGGAGGGUUUUAAGACCCAGCUAGACAAAGCGUUGGCUGGGAUGAUCUACUUGGGGAUGGUCCUAUUUUGAGCAGGGGGUUGAACUAGAUGACUUCCCAAGGUCCCUUCCAACCCUAAUUUUCUAUAAUUCUAUGAUAUCUCAGGUCCUGGAUUCAUGAAUGAAUGUACAGUAGAACUCAGAUUUAACAUACCAUCCCCAGGCCAGAAAAAGCACAUUAUACCUAAGGUACAUUAAAGCAAGACUAAUAUUAAGAUGCUGCCUCAGGGCCUGGAGUGGGGAUAGAGGCAGGAGGGGGACAAAAGCUGGGCUCAGGGAUCAAGCACUGUUACAGAUUCCUGAGGUCUGUACUGCCAAUAUUGUGGACUCCCAGGAGCUUGGCCUAGUCUAAACUGUUAGGAGUAUGGCCAGGGACAUUUAUAUCUGUAGGAUAUGUGGAAGGCACCAGCUUCUGUAUGUAUAGCAAAUCCACUAUAGUGCUUCAGCAGGGUGGCAGGGAACAGUGGCUAGCAGCUUCUCCGCACAGGUCUGCUGUUACCUGCCACCCUGCUUCCCUCUCCUGGGGCCUCCGGAGCCUGGUGGGCACAACCUGGUGUGGCAGGCAGCAGCGGAGCCGCGCAGGGAUCUCCUCACCACUGUUUGCCCCCCGCUCCCGACCCCACCCCAGUGACGCGCUUCCUACAUGCAGGGCUGCAGUGAGGUCAGCGGCAUGGGGGCCGUGCCCCUCAAAGCACUGGAGGUGCAUCACCAGGGCAGAGGUGGGGAGUGGUGGCAAGGAGAUCCCCAUGCAGCCCCACUGUCCCCAGCCAUGCCAGGUCACGUCCUCCAGGCUCCAGAGGCCAGAGGACAUGAUCUGGUGUGGCUGAGGACAGUGGGCAGUGAAGCAAGGUGAGAGCCCACAGCCUGCGCCUGCCCUGAGUACAGCUCUGGGGGGUGCAGGUCCCCCCUGCCCCCCAGGAGUGUGUGUGGCAGCAGGGAGCCGGCUCUCCCUCUCCCCCAGACAACCCACCCACAGCCCAGUCUUUCUCCCUACUGGGGACCUGCAGCCAUGCAUUAUGGGCCUGGGCCCCAUGCCCCACCCAGCUGGGCAGCAUCCUCAGCCUCAGCCCUGCCCAGCUCCCUCUCUCCCCACAUACCUGCUGGAGCUGCUCUGCAGGCUGCCUGGGGCCAGAUGCAUGCCCAUGCACAUGGCACCCCCUGUCUCUCUGCCUUCCUCCUGCUCCGCCACAGCUACCUGCAGGCUGGAACUCUGCCAGCCUGCAGGGAAUUCCAAAAUGGAAAAAUCCACAGGCUUCUCUUAUAAAAUGAGAAAUCCACGUUUGCUUCUGGUAAAAGGUAAAAUCCGUGGUUUACUCCAUUUUUCCAUGGGAAACAGAAAACCUGGAUCCCUGCUAAUAAAAUAUGUAUGUAUUCCUAAGCAACAGCAGUCUGGCAGCGUUGUCAUUCUUUAAUUGAUGCUGAAGCCUGAUUUUAAAACCUACCUCACCUUAACUUUACCAAAAUGACCCUGAUCGCCCACCAGAUUACCAUGCCUGGACAGAAUUUGCUGAGAAGUUAGGGACACAGAAGAGGAGCUUCUCUACUUCUCUCUCCCUGGUCCCUUCCUAUAAGGGAAGGAGGAUCCAGGGAACUACAGGCCAGCCAGCCUCACAUCAGUCCCUGGAAAAAUCAUGGAGCAGGUCCUCAAAGAAUCUACUUCUAAGCAUGUGGAUGAGAAGAGUGUGAUUAAGAACAGUUGGCAUGGAUUCACCAAGGGCAAGUCAUGCCUGAGCAACCUGAUUGCCUUCUAUGAUGAGAUGACUGGCUCUGUGGAUGUGAGGAAAGCAGUGGACAAGAUAUAUCUUAACUUUAGCAAGGUUUUUGAUACCAUCUCCUACACAAUUCUUGCAAGCAAGCUAAGGAGCUGAGCUCUCCAACCUCUUUCAUGUUCUUCCGUCUUGUGAGUCCUGUGGAGAAUUUCAGAUUUUGUGCCAGGAAAAAAAAAUGGACUGAGUGAUGUCAAAGACCUGCUGGAGCUGGAGCCAGAAGGUAUUUCUUUCCUGUGAAAUAUUCCCUCAGCAAAGAAAAGGAUGAUGUGUUAAAACAUGGAGAGCUAUUUGUAAGAAAUAAACAGUGAACAUGUGACAAGCCUUCGUCUUGCCCAUUUCUCCUCCCCUAAAGAAGAUUUCCCGUUCCCAAAACUCGCCUGAUCAGCUGCAUAGAUCAAGAGAAAGAGUUCCUAUUCCUAGGGCUACAAGGAAAGACAUUUCUCAUUGGCACACAAAAAUCAAAUAAUUGAAAAUGCCAUCUAUAAAAGUAGCAUGGGCUACUUUUAAUUUGACCUUAUUCUGUUUAUGCUUUAUAAUACAAUCUUUAAUAACAGAGUUACUUAUUUUUUCCUCAGAACUUCUGCUUCAUUAAAUGCAUGAAACUGAAUCACAAAUAGACACAAUUAAGAAUCCACAGAUGGGUUGGCCCUGCCUUGGAUCCUGCCACAGGACAGUGUUCCAGGGCCUCUGCUUGUCUUUCCCUGAGACACAACACUCCCCUUAAGAUGCGUUGUGGCGUUUCGAGUCUUGGGCCUGGACUCCUACCUUGUAUCCAUCACUGCUUCGUUGUCUGGUUUACUGUAUCUGGUGUUCUGUCUUUGGUCUCGCACCUAAAUAAGAAAUCCCCCAUGGUGUUAUUUUUCCCUGGGUGAUGUAUUAUUUGCAAUUUGAAAGGCUGCAGGGCCAGGGCCCACCUGGUUAUUCAGGCCUUAUUAGUUUUGGCCCUGCUUAACCAUUGGAGGGGUGCAUGAUCUGUUAUAAGCCUGAAUUCCCUCCCCAUCAGAUAGUAGCGGAAAUGCUCCAUGGCCCACUGGAUCGCUAAACAUUCCUGCUCUAUUGUAGCAUACUGUGUCUCUGCAGGGAGCAGCUUAGGACUCGCGUACGCCACGGGUCUUUCAGUUCCAGUGUCUUCUUGGGUCAGGACAGCCCUUAAGGAUGUCUCUGAUGUAUCCAUAGUAGUAUAUAGGCUCACCGCCCUUCAAUGCAAAUGUGACAGGUUGGCGGGACCAGAAGUACCGCCCCUUAGCCCUGCCCCCUUUAAACGGUGCAUGACAUCACUAGCCCCACCCCUGACCUCAGACACAUUGUGCGUGACGUCGCCAGCCCCACCCCCUAACUCCAGUCACGUGGUGUGUGACAUCACCAACCCUGCCCCCUCCCCAGUCACAUGGUGCAUGGCAUCAGCAACUCCACCUGCACCCCCCGUCAUGUGGUGUGUGACAUCAGCAACUCCGACCCCACCCCCCCAGUCACAUGGGGUGUGACACCACCACCACAUGGUCCAUGACAUCAGAAGGACAGCCCACGCAGACCCCCAAAGCCCACCCCCUCAUGCUGCAAGACCCACCCUAGACCACGUGGUACAGUUAUGACCUAUCAGGUCCCAAACUGCUCUUGCCCCUCCAGAGUGACCCUUGAGUUUGUCUGAGAUUGUGCUAAGACAAGCAGAGGCAGACAUGGAGGAGAUUCAGGAGUGUGAGAUGGGUGCCAAGUUUACCAAAACAAGACCAGAGACCGUGACAGAACUCGAGCAGUCCAUAUCAGAGCCGCCUGUGGAGAGCAUGGACAACUCUGUCCCAAGGGACUCUACUGAGGUCCGCCUCUGUCCUCUCUGCCCUCUCCACAGCUGGACUUCCAGGUCUCUUCCUCAGAUAAGUAUACUGAUUCCUCCGAGUCAGUUUGUGGGAUCAGCUCCUUACUGGGAGGCUGCCACUAGCUAUCUUUCUGGUGAUCUCCGCUCCCACUGCAGCCUUCCUUCAAUUGCCAGGGACCUCUGUCCAGUCCCCCUGUUGGCUUGCAGCGUGGGGCUUUUAUCUCUGCCCUGCUGCACCUGCUGGCAAAUCGGUGCUGGCACAUACUUACAAAGUGCAUCCACGCCUGCACUGGGUUUUUUUCUUUGCCCCGUCUCCAGGCUCCUGUUGCCUGCGGCAUGGGAUGCUGCAGCAUUGCUGGUCAGUUUCGCGGUGCAGCGGACCUGCUGCCACUGCCAUGCUCGGGGUUCUUGACAGGCUGGGUUGCUACCAACAGGGUAUGCAGUGUGGCAGUUUCACCCCUGCUGCCCCAUUCCCACAGCUGUGUGUGUUGUGGGGUUGCUGGUGGUGCUCGCGGUGUGGUGAUCCUGGCACUGCCAUGCUCCCACAACUCGGCGUGCUGUGAUGCCACUGGUGAGCUCUUUGGCAUGGGGAUUUUGCCGUUGCUGCUGGGUCCUUGUGGCUCAGCGGUUCCCUUGCCCCUGCCCCACCUGUUAUUAACUGUAGAAGGGAACUCAGCAACUCAUCUAGUCCAACCUCCCUGCAGGAUCAUCCAUAUUCAAACCAUCCUGUAGAAGUGUUUGUCUAAUAUAUUCAUAAAACUAUAAAAAAGAUCAUGAAAGCUCUUAUGUGUGUUUCUUUUUAUGGCAUAAUGAAAUAUUGUUUGAGAAUGAAGCAUUUUUAAGAAUGUGUGGGGUGUUUUUUAGAUGAACCAGGACAAGGAAGCCAUGCAUGUGGAAAUCCAGCACAUCAGAGCAGACUUGAUUGAUCAAGUUUGCUGGAGCAUGGAAAUUGACACAUUCUGGCAGCCUUCCACGUCACAUAUAUCAGCAUCCCCAUGCAUCCCUGCACUAAAAAAUGGUCGCAGAACACUUUGAAAUAAACACAUUUGAUGAUUGUGGAAAAAACUUAUCUCUGCCAGAUGAGGAGCAGAGCACGGCGAAAGUGAAACCACAGCAGGCGGAGCCGCCAUGGGAAAAAGAAAAGAAAAAAAAAACGGCUGAGCCAGAAGGAGCCGGGACUGGCUCCCCUGUUGGUGGGGGCACACUUUAUGGUGGCGUGCCAGGACCGAUUGGUCAGCCAGGCCCCUGGAGCUGGGAUAAAAGACCCGGCAGAAGACCAGCGGGGUGGACUGGAAGUGAGGUCUUCAACCGGCCCAGAGAGGCCAGAGCAAGAACCUAGUCCCAGUGAGGGGACCUAGUGGUUGCCCCAGGAAGGGGUUUCUGUGAGAGGUCUGGGCCAGAGAGAGCCUGAGGAUUUACCCAUAGAGUCUCUGUGGACAACAGAUGAGCACAGCAUGGACUGGAGUCUGGCAGGACCAAGUAGGACAAGAAGCCAUACAUGACUGACCGACGGCAAGUACCAAGCCUGAAGACAGGGCGACACACCGGGAGGCAGAAUGGCAACAAAUCAGGGUGACACAUAGACGAGGAAAAGGGGGCAGUAGGGAGCACUCAGGUUAAAACACCAUCCUGAUCCUAUGGCCAUAAAUUCAGAGAGCCGGAGCACCAAAGCAUACAGUAUGCCAACUCCAACAAUACAAGUGACGACAUCUUUGGUUGAUGUUAGGCGGGGUGUAGGGGAGGCAGAGCCUCAAACAGGAAGAACAGCUGGGACGACCAAAGGGAGGCACCAGGAAGGAUGGGACUGAACAUCUUCCUCCCAGUUAAAAUUAUUUUUCAUCAAAGACAUGGCAGGCGAGACCCGCUGGGGGACUGACCGAAAGUCAGCCUAUUAACAGAACUGUUUCUUCCUAAAAGCCAUGGCGAGGUCAGAGAGGAACCCCCAUACUUGAUGCCCAGGUGAAAGGCACGGGAGAUUACAAUAAGCUUUAAUUCAAAGUGCCCCGCCACCAUUUUUUCAGCACAGGGACAUGUGGGGAUGCGGGCACUUUUAAUUUGCGUGGCUUGCUAUUAAAGCACCCAGUGCCGCAUCCCAGAACAUGUGUAAAAAUGCCCUUUACUCUGUGCUGUGUAUGGAAAGUGUUUUAAAUGCUAUCUAAAUGCUAUUAGUGCAAUAGGUUAUGCCAUGAAUUGCCUGCACCUCACAGAGAAACAUUUAGCUCAGGGUAUAGCAAUUUUAAACACAGUUCAUAUUGCUGAAGACCCUACAUGGUUUGAUCACUGAAGAAUAUAAGCCUCUGAUACCCUAUAUGGAAUGUUUAAUUGGGACUAGAGAUUAUAAAACCCUGCUUAAGAGAAGGCUUUAGCAAAAACAGUUAUAAAAUGUAUUUUUAUGGAUGUUACCUUUACUUUUUUUGGGGGGGGGGGGGUGAAUUAGCCCUGUGAGUGUGUUGUAAAAAUAAAACCAACAAGACUUAGCAGUUACUAGAAAUUAUAAAAGCCCUUCUUAGGGGAAGGAGGUGCUAGCAAUAAAAAGCUGUAAAUAUUAUACAUAUUUGAUGGGAAUAAAGACUGUUUUAAAAUGCA